This 81-nucleotide transfer RNA is filed under the name Dacrycarpus imbricatus. RNAcentral describes it as "tRNA-Leu". The record is from RNAcentral. Lineage: Eukaryota; Viridiplantae; Streptophyta; Pinopsida; Araucariales; Podocarpaceae.
UGCCUUGAAGAGGACUCGAACCUCCACGCUCGAGAGCACGAGAUUUUGAGUCUCGCGUGUCUACCAUUUCACCAUCAAGGC